Molecule: non-coding RNA, 643 nt
Organism: Pelobates cultripes (western spadefoot toad)
Lineage: Eukaryota; Metazoa; Chordata; Amphibia; Anura; Pelobatidae
Source: the annotation of a GenBank genome assembly
GCCACAUAGAGUAGAGGUUACUGCAGUACCCAAAAUUCAAAAUAAGACAAAGAAACGUUUCGGAUUUCCCCUUUGAAACUGUCAAAAUGUCCUUAAAAUGUACCUUUAGUAUCUAGUUGCGCUUUCUUGAUUUCUUUAAUUUCUUCAUUAGUGUGUCAUGAAAAUAAGCAUUUUUAAUGUUUUAAUGCAAGCAUCUAUGUUUCAAAGCUCCUUCCUAGGUUAUCACCAAACCGUUUUUAAUUCAUAAUGAAUUAAAGCCACUCUUCAAAAAUAGAAUUCUCCAUCACUUCUAAUCCGUCACACACGGCAUAUGCUUUCCUUACUUGUUACGCAUGGUAUUGUACAAAAUAGAAGCCUGGGCAGACAGGAGAGCACUAGUCUCCUGUACCCUUUUGCUAUCUAUACAUUCGCUCAAGCUUUGUUCCACAGGAUUUCCUUAAACUUACUGGUGGUGUCGGGCUCUCUGCCAGCACCUCUAAGUUGCAUUAAAAAGUGGUGUACAUAGUAUAAAGAAUAAUGCUUGGUAAUAUGCCCAUUUGUUGGUUUUAGCUGUUGCCUCCCCAGCUAGCAGCCUUGCUUGUAACAAGCCUCUUACUACCGAAGCUGCUUUUCUUCUAUUUUUAUUUAUUUAUCCAGAUAUAAU